Molecule: transfer RNA, 64 nt
Filed under: Trigonopterus porg
Lineage: Eukaryota; Metazoa; Arthropoda; Insecta; Coleoptera; Curculionidae
Description: tRNA-His
Source: RNAcentral
ACUUGGAUAGUUUAUUUAAAAUAUUAAUUUGUGGAGUUAAAGAUAAAUAUUUGUUUUCUAAGUA